ACGAACGCUGGCGGCAGGCUUAACACAUGCAAGUCGAACGCAUUCACCGACUUCGGUUGGUGGGUGAGUGGCGCACGGGUGAGUAACACGUGGGAAUAUGCCUAUCGGUGGGGGAUAACUUCGGGAAAUUGAAGCUAAUACCGCAUACGCCCUACAUCAGUGAUGGUGUUGGGGAAAGAUUUAUCGCCGAUAGAUUAGCCCGCGUCCGAUUAGCUAGUUGGUGAGGUAAUGGCUCACCAAGGCGACGAUCGGUAGCUGGUCUGAGAGGAUGAUCAGCCACACUGGGACUGAGACACGGCCCAGACUCCUACGGGAGGCAGCAGUGGGGAAUAUUGGACAAUGGGCGCAAGCCUGAUCCAGCCAUGCCGCGUGAGUGAUGAAGGCCUUAGGGUUGUAAAGCCCUUUCGACGGGGAGGAAGGCACCGGCGCGAAUAGCGUUGGUGAUUGACGUAACCUGGAGAAGAAGCACCGGCUAACUCCGU
This 482-nucleotide ribosomal RNA is filed under the name uncultured bacterium. RNAcentral's name for it is "bacterial SSU rRNA". It matches the Rfam family "Bacterial small subunit ribosomal RNA", at positions 29 to 506 of the family's 1533-position model. The record is from RNAcentral.